This 301-nucleotide ribosomal RNA is filed under the name uncultured bacterium. RNAcentral's name for it is "partial 16S ribosomal RNA". It matches the Rfam family "Bacterial small subunit ribosomal RNA", at positions 509 to 807 of the family's 1533-position model. The record is from RNAcentral.
CAGUAGCCGCGGGAAUACGUAGGUGGCAAACGUUGUCCGGAAUUAUUGGGCGUAAAGGGCUCGCAGGCGGUUUCUUAAGUCUGAUGUGAAAGCCCCCGGCUCAACCGGGGAGGGUCAUUGGAAACUGGGAAACUUGAGUGCAGAAGAGGAGAGUGGAAUUCCACGUGUAGCGGUGAAAUGCGUAGAGAUGUGGAGGAACACCAGUGGCGAAGGCGACUCUCUGGUCUGUAACUGACGCUGAGGAGCGAAAGCGUGGGGAGCGAACAGGAUUAGAUACCCCCGUAGUCCCUGUCUCUUAUAC